CCGAGUUUACAACUCCCAAACCCCUGUAAACAUACCACUUGUUGCCUCGGCGGAUCAGCCCGCUCCCGGUAAAACGGGACGGCCCGCCAGAGGACCCCUAAACUCUGUUUCUAUAUGUAACUUCUGAGUAAAACCAUAAAUAAAUCA
RNAcentral lists this unclassified non-coding RNA (147 nucleotides) under soil metagenome. RNAcentral describes it as "partial internal transcribed spacer 1". The record is from RNAcentral.